UACGGAGGGUGCAAGCGUUGUCCGGAUUUAUUGGGUUUAAAGGGUGCGUAGGCGGUCCAUUAAGUCCGGGGUGAAAGCCCGUUGCUCAACAACGGAACUGCCCUGGAAACUGGCGGACUUGAGUACAGACGAGGGUGGCGGAAUGGAUGCUGUAGCGGUGAAAUGCAUAGAUAGCAUCCAGAACCCCGAUUGCGAAGGCGGCUACCUGGACCGGUUCUGACGCUGAGGCGCGAAAGCGUGGGUAGCAAACAGG
Molecule: ribosomal RNA, 253 nt
Filed under: uncultured bacterium
Lineage: Bacteria
Description: partial 16S ribosomal RNA
Rfam family: Bacterial small subunit ribosomal RNA
Source: RNAcentral